GCCAGGCGGGUGUUGCAAGCCUGUAAUCCCAGUGCCUCGGGAGGCUGAGGCAGGAGGAUCAUGGGGGGGGGGGGGUUCCAACUUAGCUGGGGCUCUAAGCUACUCCGUGAGACCCUGUCUCUA
Molecule: small RNA, 123 nt
Filed under: Marmota monax (woodchuck)
Lineage: Eukaryota; Metazoa; Chordata; Mammalia; Rodentia; Sciuridae
Source: RNAcentral